RNAcentral lists this ribosomal RNA (228 nucleotides) under uncultured bacterium. RNAcentral describes it as "partial 16S ribosomal RNA". It matches the Rfam family "Bacterial small subunit ribosomal RNA", at positions 118 to 346 of the family's 1533-position model. The record is from RNAcentral.
UGGGCAACCUGCCCUCAGCUCUGGGAUAACUCCAAGAAAUUGGGGCUAAUACCGGAUAUGACCGCUGACCGCAUGGUCUGGUGGUGGAAAGAUUUAUCGGCUGGGGAUGGGCCCGCGGCCUAUCAGCUUGUUGGUGGGGUAGUGGCCUACCAAGGCGACGACGGGUAGCCGGCCUGAGAGGGCGACCGGCCACACUGGGACUGAGACACGGCCCAGACUCCUACGGGA